UCCGUAGGCGGUGCGGCAAGUCGGAAGUGAAAUCUCAGGGCUUAACCCUGAGGCUGCUUCCGAAACUGCCGUGCUCGAGUGCGAGAGAGGCGAGUGGAAUUGCAGGUGUAGCGGUGAAAUGCGUAGAUAUCUGCAGGAACAUCCGAGGCGAAAGCGGCUCGCUGGAUCGCAACUGACGCUGAGGGACGAAAGCUAGGGGAGCAAACAGGAUUAGAUACCCUGGUAGUCCUAGCCCUAAACGAUCAGGACUGGGCGUGGGCCUCGUACGGGGCUCGUGCCGCAGCUAACGCGUUAAGUCCUGCGCCUGGGGAGUACGGUCGCAAGGCUGA
This 329-nucleotide ribosomal RNA is filed under the name uncultured bacterium. Its description in RNAcentral is "bacterial SSU rRNA". It matches the Rfam family "Bacterial small subunit ribosomal RNA", at positions 568 to 897 of the family's 1533-position model. The record is from RNAcentral.